CCUGCAAAAAUAGUAUCGAUCCUAUUUUUGCCGGACGCCGGAGCACCUCCGCAGUCAAUGGACAGGAAUCACAACCGCCCAACAGGAAAGGGAGCAAGCACAACUUCCGUUAUUUCACAAUAAAUCGAUAAACAAAAAGCGUUUUGUUUCAUAUGCACAGGUUUAACAACUUUUAACAACUAUCAAUGGCGGCUGAACUUUAAAUGCACAAAAGUAUGUUGUGUGACGGGGUGAGUACUCCCUCUUCUCCACAACAUCUUUGUAAGACUGUCAUUCCAGGAGAGGGCACUCACCAGCUGUGGGGCAUUACCGAUCAGCGGCAGCUGCAGAUCCUCUAAUCAACCGCAGCAGAGCUCUAUUUAAGAGGAGAGGGAACCACUUCACAUCGCUGGAUGAUUAACUACUCACGGAUACUUGGAAUCGCUGAACCACAGAUGGAUGUACCUACCUGGAAGUCACCAUAACCCGCCUGGAUUACACACUCAAGGUUCACCUCUCCUCCAGCUUCACUUGCCCUCUGCCGCCAUCAUCUGGCUCCCUCUCCUGGACGAACCCCGUCACACCGUUUGCCCUCCCUGCUGGCUUUUGGACUCUUGCCGACUACUUCACACUUGGAUAUCUCCAGGACACUUUUAGUUAGGGUUAAUAAAUCAUUGUUUGAACUUUC
Nothobranchius furzeri (turquoise killifish) is the source of this 667-nucleotide non-coding RNA. Lineage: Eukaryota; Metazoa; Chordata; Actinopteri; Cyprinodontiformes; Nothobranchiidae. The record is from RefSeq and is a predicted model, not a curated record.